ACCCGGCUGACGAGACUCAAAUAGGAUGAAAUGCGCGUCCUGGAU
Non-coding RNA from Schistosoma mattheei, 45 nucleotides. NCBI's taxonomy places the organism in Eukaryota, Metazoa, Platyhelminthes, Trematoda, Strigeidida, Schistosomatidae. The record is from Rfam.